RNAcentral lists this transfer RNA (105 nucleotides) under Nitrososphaerales archaeon. RNAcentral describes it as "tRNA-Leu". It matches the Rfam family "tRNA". From Rfam's summary of the family: Transfer RNA (tRNA) molecules are approximately 80 nucleotides in length. Their secondary structure includes four short double-helical elements and three loops (D, anti-codon, and T loops). Lineage: Archaea; Thermoproteati; Nitrososphaerota; Nitrososphaeria; Nitrososphaerales. The record is from RNAcentral.
GCGGGGGUUCCCAAGCCAGGUCAAAGAAGAGCUACGACCACAGGGGGAGAACUUAAGAUCCUCUGGUUUAGGCCUUCGUGGGUUCAAAUCCCACCCCCCGCACCA